This 497-nucleotide ribosomal RNA is filed under the name uncultured bacterium. RNAcentral describes it as "partial 16S ribosomal RNA". It matches the Rfam family "Bacterial small subunit ribosomal RNA", at positions 28 to 507 of the family's 1533-position model. The record is from RNAcentral.
GACGAACGCUGGCGGCGUGCCUAAUACAUGCAAGUAGAACGCUGAAGAGAGGAGCUUGCUCUUCUUGGAUGAGUUGCGAACGGGUGAGUAACGCGUAGGUAACCUGCCUGGUAGCGGGGGAUAACUAUUGGAAACGAUAGCUAAUACCGCAUAAAAUGGAUUAUCGCAUGAUAAUCCAUUGAAAGGUGCAAAUGCAUCACUACCAGAUGGACCUGCGUUGUAUUAGCUAGUUGGUGAGGUAACGGCUCACCAAGGCGACGAUACAUAGCCGACCUGAGAGGGUGAGCGGCCACACUGGGACUGAGACACGGCCCAGACUCCUACGGGAGGCAGCAGUAGGGAAUCUUCGGCAAUGGACGGAAGUCUGACCGAGCAACGCCGCGUGAGUGAAGAAGGUUUUCGGAUCGUAAAGCUCUGUUGUAAGAGAAGAACGAGUGUGAGAGUGGAAAGUUCACACUGUGACGGUAUCUUACCAGAAAGGGACGGCUAACUACGUG